UUAACCUCUAUACUGGAGCCAUCAGUUGUCUCUGUAUAUAAUCUCAUUAUGGGCUCCACAAUACUUUUCCAAUCAAGAUCAUUGGCAACAGAAUGGGUUUCCCACUCAGAGGUUUUAUUCCACCUCAUGAAGUAUCCAUGUUCAGCUGCUAUUCCUAAUCUCUCACAAGGGUCAAGCCAGCCACUCAAUGAAUUUUUCCCUCUCCCACUGACAAUAAACACACUGUUAUUUUGGUCAUUGCACAGAGCUUUUAGAACAGAGAUGACUUCAGAGCUGGGGCUUUUAACGAUAGAAGUCUGUGGUACAACAGUACCAUCAUAGUCCAGAAAUAUUGCUCUUCUAUUUGUCCUUUUAUAAGCUGAGACAAUGUGUUCAAUACACAACCUCCUGAAGCUAGGAGAAAGAGACACGACCCUGAAUCCCAGGCCAAA
This 431-nucleotide unclassified non-coding RNA is filed under the name Hevea brasiliensis (rubber tree). The record is from RNAcentral. Lineage: Eukaryota; Viridiplantae; Streptophyta; Magnoliopsida; Malpighiales; Euphorbiaceae.